RNAcentral lists this long non-coding RNA (1581 nucleotides) under Stegodyphus dumicola. Its description in RNAcentral is "uncharacterized LOC118180843". Lineage: Eukaryota; Metazoa; Arthropoda; Arachnida; Araneae; Eresidae. The record is from RNAcentral.
UAGUAAUUAGCGGUUUUUAAACGUUACAGGACAAAUUUUUUGAAAAUAUUAUUAACUAAUUUAUUUGCUAAAACAAUUAAUUUAUAGAAACAGUAAUUCAUUGUAAAUUUCAAAUAAAAACGACUUACAAGAGGAGGAAAGCGACUAUUUCCUUCUUUAUCUGACAUAAAAGAUCGGACGAUGAAAAUCCUGCUCUGAAAAUUCCGUGGCCAGAAAUUUCUGUGAUUAAUGAUGUGAUAACAUUAAGCAGACAAAUACGCAGUUUCAAGUCAAUUCAGAUUGCUUCAAUGGUUUAUCAAAUGGAGGACACAUAUAAGGAGGAAAAAAUACAAGGCAAGGCUGUCAUCAGCGAAGUUCUCAUCUAAUAAGAUACAGCAGAGAAAAUUCCUUUGCCUUGUGGUAACAAAGUAUUGAUAUGUUGUUGGACAUGAAGACCCCUUGGUGACACAAGUGAUAAUCAGAAACUGUUUAUUGCCUUUAAAAGACUAAGUGGAAUUUUCAUCUAAAAGCUUAGAAAUUACUAGGUUUCAUACCUUUGUGAAGAAAUAUUCUCUUUCUUCGAACGCUUAAAGCUUCCCAUUUGUAAAUACCAGAACGGAAUCUUCGGCACUGCAUGGAUCUUCAUCUGUACUGAUGCAGUUUUACCAACUAUUAAACAUUUUUAGCAACUAAUUCUAAUGAGGAAAAUGCUGAUACCCUGUUUCUGCACUUCUUGUAAACGGUACUAAAGCAGGAAUAAGUAAGAAACUAAGAAGACCACAAAGAAUAAAUGCAUCGUAUGGAAGCUUUAUGAAUAUGAAUAUUGUAAACAGUAGAAAAACAGGAAAGAGCCGGAUUUUAUCAUUUGAGGCGCAGAAUGCCGUAAUAAGAAACCACCUCAGAAAGGGUCUGCAUUGCUGACGCAUCAACUAAAACAAGCAUAGCUAUCUAUGAAGAUUAUCAAGUAGCAAUUCCUCUCCUCGAACGACAAAUUUAUGAAGCGGAUCUUGCCUUUUUCUUUUUUGGAGACAGCAGUCUAGCUGCUCUACAGCACGCAGCGGGAUUUCUGAUGAACGGUCUAGCUACCUUCAAUGACAAGCACUUUACGAGGUGAACGAAAAUAACCCAUGUAAUUAAACUAUGCGGGCAAGCCGAUCCAGACUUGUGAUAAACGAGACAUAAAACGCAUAGAAAUGGAUAUUCUCUUGUACCUAACUUCUAUUUCUCUACAUUGGCGAAACAAAAAAUACUCUCAAAAUGUACAGUUACUGCGGGACUCACUGUAAUAAUUCCCUUUAGCUUGGAAUACAUUCAUCUGAGCGGAAUUUAUAGCAUCUCAGUUUUAAUAAGGAAGUCGCACCUCGAUGGCCUGCAAUAGUAGAUUUUUACUUCCGGGCUUAAGGCCGCCUUAAUAACGGCUCAGUCCUCUUUAUAGAAAGGAAAGGGAGAUGUACAUAAUUCAAGGUUAAUAUGCAUAAAUGUAAUUUUUAUGUUUAUAUAUUCGAGAGGCAAUUGAGAAUGUUGUGUAAUUAUGAAAGCAAGUUGCGCUCACUUUUCUUUCGAAUGUAGUUCACUAAUUUGUUCCCCAAAAUAAUAGGUCAU